UCAAAAAGCUCGAAAAUAAAAAAUAAAAUUAUAAUAAAAAAGCUUCAUUAUUAAUUUGUUUCAAGUCUUCCUAAUUCUAACCCUUCAGUUGCACCUGAUUUACAUGCAUUAGGAAUACCAUGGAUACAUCUUAGUUAACAAACAAAAUGACCAUUAUUAACCUUGGUAUUAGAAUAGGGAACUCGCGGGCUAAUCUAACUCAUGAUGGAUUCAGGUCUGAUUGAGUUUAAAAAAAUUAUAUUUUUUAGGUGUUGCUCCCUCUAUCUUUCCAAAUGUUUUUCCAUCUCUCCACUAUUUUCAUUUAUUUCAAAAAUAUUUUGCACAUCUCCACUAUUUUUUUUUAUUCUAAAAAUAUCCUACAACUCUCCACUUUCCUUAAUAAUCUUUCUCUUU
RNAcentral lists this long non-coding RNA (393 nucleotides) under Vigna radiata. Its description in RNAcentral is "long non-coding RNA (VRAD_LNC015081)". The record is from RNAcentral. Lineage: Eukaryota; Viridiplantae; Streptophyta; Magnoliopsida; Fabales; Fabaceae.